UAAUACAGAGGGUGCGAGCGUUGUUCGGAAUUAUUGGGCGUAAAGCGCUUGUAGGCGGCCUGUCAAGUCGCGUGUGAAAUCCCCUGGCUUAACCAGGGAAGUGCGCGCGAAACUGGCGGGCUUGAGUGCCGGAGAGGGUCGCGGAAUUCCCGGUGUAGAGGUGAAAUUCGUAGAUAUCGGGAGGAACACCAGUGGCGAAGGCGGCGACCUGGACGGACACUGACGCUGAGACGCGAAAGCGUGGGGAGCAAACAGGAUUAGAUACCCUGGUAGUCCACGCUGUAAACGAUGGGUGCUAGUUGUGGCGGGUUUUGACCCCUGCCGUGACGCAGCUAACGCAAUAAGCACCCCGCCUGGGAAGUACGGCCGCAAGGCUA
RNAcentral lists this ribosomal RNA (377 nucleotides) under uncultured bacterium. RNAcentral's name for it is "bacterial SSU rRNA". It matches the Rfam family "Bacterial small subunit ribosomal RNA", at positions 521 to 896 of the family's 1533-position model. The record is from RNAcentral.